CACUAUCGUUAACUGAAUACAUAGGUUAACGAGGCGAACCGGGGGAACUGAAACAUCUAAGUACCCCGAGGAAAAGAAAUCAACCGAGAUUCCCCCAGUAGCGGCGAGCGAACGGGGAGCAGCCCAGAGUCUGAAUCAGCUUGUGUGUUAGUGGAACGGUCUGGAAAGUCCGACGGUACAGGGUGAUAGUCCCGUACACCAAAAUGCACAGGCUGUGAACUCGAAGAGUAGGGCGGGACACGUGGUAUCCUGUCUGAAUAUGGGGGGACCAUCCUCCAAGGCUAAAUACUCCUGACUGACCGAUAGUGAACCAGUACCGUGAGGGAAAGGCGAAAAGAACCCCGGCGAGGGGAGUGAAAAAGAACCUGAAACCGUGUACGUACAAGCAGUGGGAGCACCUUCGGGUGUGACUGCGUACCUUUUGUAUAAUGGGUCAGCGACUUAUAUUCUGUAGCAAGGUUAACCGUAUAGGGGAGCCGCAGGGAAACCGAGUCUUAACUGGGCGUUAAGUUGCAGGGUAUAGACCCGAAACCCGGUGAUCUAGCCAUGGGCAGGUUGAAGGUUGGGUAACACUAACUGGAGGACCGAACCGACUAAUGUUGAAAAAUUAGCGGAUGACUUGUGGCUGGGGGUGAAAGGCCAAUCAAACCGGGAGAUAGCUGGUUCUCCCCGAAAGCUAUUUAGGUAGCGCCUCGUGAACUCAUCUUCGGGGGUAGAGCACUGUUUCGGCUAGGGGGUCAUCCCGACUUACCAACCCGAUGCAAACUACGAAUACCGAAGAAUGUUAUCACGGGAGACACACGGCGGGUGCUAACGUCCGUCGUGAAGAGGGAAACAACCCAGACCGCCAGCUAAGGUCCCAAAGUCAUGGUUAAGUGGGAAACGAUGUGGGAAGGCACAGACAGCCAGGAUGUUGGCUUAGAAGCAGCCAUCAUUUAAAGAAAGCGUAAUAGCUCACUGGUCGAGUCGGCCUGCGCGGAAGAUGUAACGGGGCUAAACCAUGCACCGAAGCUGCGGCAGCGACACUAUGUGUUGUUGGGUAGGGGAGCGUUCUGUAAGCCUGCGAAGGUGUGCUGUGAGGCAUGCUGGAGGUAUCAGAAGUGCGAAUGCUGACAUAAGUAACGAUAAAGCGGGUGAAAAGCCCGCUCGCCGGAAGACCAAGGGUUCCUGUCCAACGUUAAUCGGGGCAGGGUGAGUCGACCCCUAAGGCGAGGCCGAAAGGCGUAGUCGAUGGGAAACAGGUUAAUAUUCCUGUACUUGGUGUUACUGCGAAGGGGGGACGGAGAAGGCUAUGUUAGCCGGGCGACGGUUGUCCCGGUUUAAGCAUGUAGGCUGAUUGUCCAGGCAAAUCCGGAUAAUCAAGGCUGAGGUGUGAUGACGAGGCACUACGGUGCUGAAGUAACAAAUGCCCUGCUUCCAGGAAAAGCCUCUAAGCAUCAGGUAACAUUAAAUCGUACCCCAAACCGACACAGGUGGUCAGGUAGAGAAUACCAAGGCGCUUGAGAGAACUCGGGUGAAGGAACUAGGCAAAAUGGUGCCGUAACUUCGGGAGAAGGCACGCUGGUGUGUAGGUGAAGUCCCUGCGGAUGGAGCUGAGACCAGUCGAAGAUACCAGCUGGCUGCAACUGUUUAUUAAAAACACAGCACUGUGCAAACACGAAAGUGGACGUAUACGGUGUGACGCCUGCCCGGUGCCGGAAGGUUAAUUGAUGGGGUUAUCCGUAAGGAGAAGCUCUUGAUCGAAGCCCCGGUAAACGGCGGCCGUAACUAUAACGGUCCUAAGGUAGCGAAAUUCCUUGUCGGGUAAGUUCCGACCUGCACGAAUGGCGUAAUGAUGGCCAGGCUGUCUCCACCCGAGACUCAGUGAAAUUGAACUCGCUGUGAAGAUGCAGUGUACCCGCGGCAAGACGGAAAGACCCCGUGAACCUUUACUAUAGCUUGACACUGAACAUUGAGCCUUGAUGUGUAGGAUAGGUGGGAGGCUUUGAAGCGUGGACGCCAGUCUGCGUGGAGCCAACCUUGAAAUACCACCCUUUAAUGUUUGAUGUUCUAACGUUGGCCCCUGACCGGGGUUGCGGACAGUGUCUGGUGGGUAGUUUGACUGGGGCGGUCUCCUCCCAAAGCGUAACGGAGGAGCACGAAGGUUAGCUAAUCCUGGUCGGACAUCAGGAGGUUAGUGCAAUGGCAUAAGCUAGCUUGACUGCGAGCGUGACGGCGCGAGCAGGUGCGAAAGCAGGUCAUAGUGAUCCGGUGGUUCUGAAUGGAAGGGCCAUCGCUCAACGGAUAAAAGGUACUCCGGGGAUAACAGGCUGAUACCGCCCAAGAGUUCAUAUCGACGGCGGUGUUUGGCACCUCGAUGUCGGCUCAUCACAUCCUGGGGCUGAAGUAGGUCCCAAGGGUAUGGCUGUUCGCCAUUUAAAGUGGUACGCGAGCUGGGUUUAGAACGUCGUGAGACAGUUCGGUCCCUAUCUGCCGUGGGCGCUGGAGAAUUGAGGGGGGCUGCUCCUAGUACGAGAGGACCGGAGUGGACGCAUCACUGGUGUUCGGGUUGUCAUGCCAAUGGCACUGCCCGGUAGCUAAAUGCGGAAGAGAUAAGUGCUGAAAGCAUCUAAGCACGAAACUUGCCCCGAGAUGAGUUCUCCCUGAGACU
RNAcentral lists this ribosomal RNA (2650 nucleotides) under Klebsiella pneumoniae. RNAcentral's name for it is "partial 23S ribosomal RNA". It matches the Rfam family "Bacterial large subunit ribosomal RNA". The record is from RNAcentral. Lineage: Bacteria; Pseudomonadati; Pseudomonadota; Gammaproteobacteria; Enterobacterales; Enterobacteriaceae.